UCAACGCUGGCGGCGUGCCUCAGACAUGCAAGUCGAACGAUUAAAGCUCUCUUCGGAGAGUGUAUAGAGUGGCGCACGGGUGAGUAACACGUAAGUAAUCUACCUUUGAGUGGGGAAUAACAUCCAGGAAACCGGAUGCUAAUACCGCAUAAUGCAGCGGCAUCGCAAGAUGACAGUUGUUAAAGAUUUAUCGCUUGAAGAGGAGCUUGCGGCAGGAUUAGCUAGUUGGUAAGGUAAUGGGCUUACCAAGGCUAC
Molecule: ribosomal RNA, 255 nt
Filed under: uncultured bacterium
Lineage: Bacteria
Description: partial 16S ribosomal RNA
Rfam family: Bacterial small subunit ribosomal RNA
Source: RNAcentral